This 497-nucleotide ribosomal RNA is filed under the name uncultured bacterium. RNAcentral describes it as "partial 16S ribosomal RNA". It matches the Rfam family "Bacterial small subunit ribosomal RNA", at positions 28 to 507 of the family's 1533-position model. The record is from RNAcentral.
GAUGAACGCUGGCGGCGUGCCUAAUACAUGCAAGUCGAGCGAACGGACGAGAAGCUUGCUUCUCUGAUGUUAGCGGCGGACGGGUGAGUAACACGUGGAUAACCUACCUAUAAGACUGGGAUAACUUCGGGAAACCGGAGCUAAUACCGGAUAAUAUUUUGAACCGCAUGGUUCAAAAGUGAAAGACGGUCUUGCUGUCACUUAUAGAUGGAUCCGCGCUGCAUUAGCUAGUUGGUAAGGUAACGGCUUACCAAGGCAACGAUGCAUAGCCGACCUGAGAGGGUGAUCGGCCACACUGGAACUGAGACACGGUCCAGACUCCUACGGGAGGCAGCAGUAGGGAAUCUUCCGCAAUGGGCGAAAGCCUGACGGAGCAACGCCGCGUGAGUGAUGAAGGUCUUCGGAUUGUAAAACUCUGUUAUUAGGGAAGAACAUAUGUGUAAGUAACUGUGCACAUCUUGACGGUACCUAAUCAGAAAGCCGCGGCUAACUACGUG